Molecule: transfer RNA, 74 nt
Filed under: Chlamydiota bacterium
Lineage: Bacteria; Pseudomonadati; Chlamydiota
Description: Chlamydiae bacterium (groundwater metagenome) tRNA-Asp
Rfam family: tRNA
About the family: Transfer RNA (tRNA) molecules are approximately 80 nucleotides in length.
Source: RNAcentral
GGGGGUGUAGCUCAAUUGGCUAGAGCGCUGCCCUGUCACGGCAGAGGUCGCGGGUUCGAGCCCCGUCACUCCCG